Molecule: ribosomal RNA, 467 nt
Filed under: uncultured bacterium
Lineage: Bacteria
Description: partial 16S ribosomal RNA
Rfam family: Bacterial small subunit ribosomal RNA
Source: RNAcentral
GACGAACGCUGGCGGCGUGCUUAACACAUGCAAGUCGAACGGAAAGGCCUCUUUCGGGGGGUACUCGAGUGGCGAACGGGCGAGUAACACGUGAGUAACCUGCCCUUGACUUUGGGAUAACUUCAGGAAACUGGGGCUAAUACCGGAUAGGAGCUCCUGCUGCAUGGUGGGGGUGGGAAAGUUUCGGCGGUUGGGGAUGGACUCGCGGCUUAUCAGCUUGUUGGUGGGGUAGUGGCUUACCAAGGCUUUGACGGGUAGCCGGCCAGAGAGGGUGACCGGCCACAUUGGGACUGAGAUACGGCCCAGACUCCUACGGGGGGCAGCAGUGGGGAAUAUUGCACAAUGGGUGGAAGCCUGAUGCAGCAACGCCGUGUGCGGGAUGACGGCCUUCGGGUUGUAAACCGCUUUCGCUCAUGACGAAGCUUUGUGUGACGGUAGUGGGUAAAGAAGCACCGGCUAACUACGUG